This 662-nucleotide ribosomal RNA is filed under the name uncultured bacterium. RNAcentral's name for it is "bacterial SSU rRNA". It matches the Rfam family "Bacterial small subunit ribosomal RNA", at positions 736 to 1398 of the family's 1533-position model. The record is from RNAcentral.
GUAACUGACGCUGAGGGACGAAAGCUAGGGGAGCGAAAGGGAUUAGAUACCCCUGUAGUCCUAGCUGUAAACGAUGGAUACUAGGUGUUGGAUGUAUCGACCCAUUCAGUACCGUAGCCAACGCGAUAAGUAUCCCGCCUGGGGAGUACGCACGCAAGUGUGAAACUCAAAGGAAUUGACGGGGGCCCGCACAAGCGGUGGAGUAUGUGGUUUAAUUCGAUGCAACGCGAAGAACCUUACCAGGGCUUGACAUCCCGCGAACCUUGAUGAAAGUUGAGGGUGCCUUCGGGAGCGCGGAGACAGGUGGUGCAUGGCUGUCGUCAGCUCGUGUCGUGAGAUGUUGGGUUAAGUCCCGCAACGAGCGCAACCCACGUCCUUAGUUGCCAUCAUUAAGUUGGGCACUCUGGGGAGACUGCCGGGGACAACUCGGAGGAAGGUGUGGAUGACGUCAAGUCAUCAUGCCCCUUACGUUCUGGGCUACACACGUACUACAAUGCUUCGGACAAAGGGCAGCGAACCUGCGAGGGUGAGCUAAUCUCAUAAACCGAGGCACAGUUCAGAUUGCAGGCUGCAACUCGCCUGCAUGAAGGAGGAAUCGCUAGUAAUCGCCGGUCAGCAUACGGCGGUGAAUACGUUCCCGGGCCUUGCACACACUGCCCGUC